RNAcentral lists this ribosomal RNA (20 nucleotides) under Arceuthobium americanum. RNAcentral describes it as "partial 26S ribosomal RNA". Lineage: Eukaryota; Viridiplantae; Streptophyta; Magnoliopsida; Santalales; Viscaceae. The record is from RNAcentral.
UUUUGACCUCAGGUCAAUUA